CGGAUGGCCGCCGGCAGCAAUGCUGGAGGAAAGUCCGGGCACCACAGGGCAGGAUGCUGGAUAACGUCCAGGCGCGGAAACGCGACAGACAGUGCAACAGAAAGCAAACCGCCAGGUUCGGGCGCAAGUCCGGGCAAGGUAAGGGUGAAAUGGCGAGGUAAGAGCUCACCGCGUUCUUGGCGACAGGGACGGCACGGUAAACCUCAUCCGGUGCAAGACCAAGCAGAAUUCCGCUCGCGCAAGCGAGCCUGGAGCGGCCCGCGACAGUUGGAAUUCGGGUAGGUCGCUUGAGGCGGUCGGUAACGAUUCGUCCAGAGAGAUGGUCAUCGCCCCGCAAGGGGUACAGAACCCGGCUUAUAAC
Molecule: RNase P RNA, 361 nt
Filed under: uncultured Fibrobacter sp.
Lineage: Bacteria; Pseudomonadati; Fibrobacterota; Fibrobacteria; Fibrobacterales; Fibrobacteraceae
Description: Bacterial RNase P class A
Rfam family: Bacterial RNase P class A
About the family: Ribonuclease P (RNase P) is a ubiquitous endoribonuclease, found in archaea, bacteria and eukarya as well as chloroplasts and mitochondria.
Source: RNAcentral